GUGAGGAGAGGAGGGGAGAGGAGGGAACAGAAGAGGAGAGGGCAAUGGCAGUAAUAAAUCCGGGGGAUCGUUUCCUGGCUUUACCUUGAUCUAUGGAGGAGCAGAGAGACCAGAAGAGCCAGCAUGUGAGGGGACAAGAGUGGAAAGAGCAUCGGUGCCACGCAGAAGGUGACGGCUGAAGCUCAAGCAGCCAUACUGGACCAUGAAGAGGCAGCCACCUGCUAAGCACACCCCACGAUGGAGGGUCCUGGGUAGGGCCCCUGACACUGCAGCGGACCAUUGCCAGCCUGGGGCCUCCUCUCUCCAGGCUUCUCCACCAAAGAGAAAUAAACUUC
Long non-coding RNA from Myotis myotis, 335 nucleotides. RefSeq lists it as uncharacterized. The transcript has 3 exons. Lineage: Eukaryota; Metazoa; Chordata; Mammalia; Chiroptera; Vespertilionidae. The record is from RefSeq and is a predicted model, not a curated record.